Molecule: ribosomal RNA, 405 nt
Filed under: uncultured bacterium
Lineage: Bacteria
Description: partial 16S ribosomal RNA
Rfam family: Bacterial small subunit ribosomal RNA
Source: RNAcentral
AUUGAACGCUAGCGGCAUGCUUUACACAUGCAAGUCGAACGAGUGGCGGACGGGUGAGUAAUAUAUCGGAACGUGCCCAGUAGCGGGGGAUAACUACUCGAAACAGUGGCUAAUACCGCAUACUCUUGGAGCUGCCCAUAUCGGAUUAGCUAGUUGGUGGGGUAAAGGCUCACCAAGGCAACGAUCCCUAGCUGGUCUGAGAGGACGACCAGCCACACUGGGACUGAGACACGGCCCAGACUCCUACGGGAGGCAGCAGUGGGGAAUAUUGGACAAUGGGCGAAAGCCUGAUCCAGCCAUGCCGCGUGUAUGAGAAGGCCUUCGGGUUGUAAAGUACUUUCGGCAGAGAAGCGGUAUCUGCAGAAUAAGCACCGGCUAACUACGUGCCAGCAGCCGCGGUAAUUC